CAAUAGCGUAUAUUAAAGUUGUUGCGGUUAAAAAGCUCGUAGUUGGAUUUCUGCCGAGGACGACCGGUCCGCCCUCUGGGUGAGUAUCUGGCUCGGCCUGGGCAUCUUCUUGGAGAACGUAGCUGCACUUGACUGUGUGGUGCGGUAUCCAGGACUUUUACUUUGAGGAAAUUAGAGUGUUUCAAGCAGGCUUACGCCUUGAAUACAUUAGCAUGGAAUAAUAAGAUAGGACCUCGGUUCUAUUUUGUUGGUUUCUAGAGCUGAGGUAAUGAUUAAUAGGGAUAGUUGGGGGCAUUCGUAUUUAACUGUCAGAGGUGAGAUUCUUGGAUUUGUUAAAGACGGACUACUGCGAAAGCAUUUGCCAAGGAUGUUUNCAUUG
RNAcentral lists this ribosomal RNA (379 nucleotides) under uncultured eukaryote. RNAcentral describes it as "partial 18S ribosomal RNA". It matches the Rfam family "Eukaryotic small subunit ribosomal RNA", at positions 592 to 975 of the family's 1831-position model. The record is from RNAcentral.